This 492-nucleotide ribosomal RNA is filed under the name uncultured bacterium. RNAcentral's name for it is "partial 16S ribosomal RNA". It matches the Rfam family "Bacterial small subunit ribosomal RNA", at positions 29 to 507 of the family's 1533-position model. The record is from RNAcentral.
AGUGAACGCUGGCAGUAGGCCUAACACAUGCAAGUCGAACGGCAGCACAGUAAGAGCUUGCUCUUACGGGUGGCGAGUGGCGGACGGGUGAGGAAUACAUCGGAAUCUACUUUUUCGUGGGGGAUAACGUAGGGAAACUUACGCUAAUACCGCAUACGACCUACGGGUGAAAGCAGGGGAUCUUCGGACCUUGCGCGAUUGAAUGAGCCGAUGUCGGAUUAGCUAGUUGGCGGGGUAAAGGCCCACCAAGGCGACGAUCCGUAGCUGGUCUGAGAGGAUGAUCAGCCACACUGGAACUGAGACACGGUCCAGACUCCUACGGGAGGCAGCAGUGGGGAAUAUUGGACAAUGGGCGCAAGCCUGAUCCAGCCAUACCGCGUGGGUGAAGAAGGCCUUCGGGUUGUAAAGCCCUUUUGUUGGGAAAGAAAAGCAGCAGGUUAAUACCCCGCUGUUCUGGCGGUACCCAAAGAAUAAGCACCGGCUAACUUCGUG